GAUGAACGCUGGCGGCGUGCUUAACACAUGCAAGUCGAACGAAGCAUUUGCGACAGUUUUUUUCGGAAUGAAGCUGCUUAUGACUGAGUGGCGGACGGGUGAGUAACGUGUGGGUAACCUGCCUCGUACUGGGGGAUAGCAGCUGGAAACGGCUGGUAAUACCGCAUAAGCGCACAAUGUUGCAUGACAUGGUGUGAAAAACUCCGGUGGUAUAAGAUGGACCUGCGCCUGAUUAGCUAGUUGGUGAGAUAACAGCCCACCAAGGCGACGAUCAGUAGCCGGGCUGUGAGGGUGGCCGGCGACUUUGGGGCUGGGACGCAGCCCGGACUCCUCCGGGAGGGAGGAGUGGGGAAUAUUGCACAGUGGAGGGAAUUCUGAUGCAGCGACGCCGCGAGAAUGAAGAAGUAAUUCGUUAUGUAAAGCUCUAUCAGCAGGGAAGAUAGUGACGGUACCUGACGAAGAAGCUCCGGCUAACUACGUG
Molecule: ribosomal RNA, 481 nt
Filed under: uncultured bacterium
Lineage: Bacteria
Description: partial 16S ribosomal RNA
Rfam family: Bacterial small subunit ribosomal RNA
Source: RNAcentral